RNAcentral lists this ribosomal RNA (467 nucleotides) under uncultured bacterium. RNAcentral describes it as "partial 16S ribosomal RNA". It matches the Rfam family "Bacterial small subunit ribosomal RNA", at positions 28 to 506 of the family's 1533-position model. The record is from RNAcentral.
GACGAACGCUGGCGGCGUGCUUAACACAUGCAAGUCGAACGGGAAGGCCCUGCUUUUGUGGGGUGCUCGAGUGGCGAACGGGUGAGUAACACGUGAGUAACCUGCCCUUGACUUUGGGAUAACUUCAGGAAACUGGGGCUAAUACCGGAUAGGAGCUCCUGCUGCAUGGUGGGGGUUGGAAAGUUUCGGCGGUUGGGGAUGGACUCGCGGCUUAUCAGCUUGUUGGUGGGGUAGUGGCUUACCAAGGCUUUGACGGGUAGCCGGCCUGAGAGGGUGACCGGCCACAUUGGGACUGAGAUACGGCCCAGACUCCUACGGGAGGCAGCAGUGGGGAAUAUUGCACAAUGGGCGGAAGCCUGAUGCAGCAACGCCGCGUGCGGGAUGACGGCCUUCGGGUUGUAAACCGCUUUCGCCUGUGACGAAGCGUGAGUGACGGUAAUGGGGAAAGAAGCACCGGCUAACUACGU